CUCCUAGGCCUCGCUUAAUGGCUCAAGUGACUUGAAAGGGCCUUAUCUAGUACCAGGUCAGCAAUUUCUUGUUUAGUAAUUUCUCCUCACCAUUCCUCAAGUGAAUGCCUCGUACCUCCUUCCGGCCUCUGUCCUGCUUCAAAGGUAAUAAUUAUUACCAUUUAAUUAUAUUAAUUAAUUAUUAUAAUUAUUUAUUUUUUAUUACUGUUGAAUACAUAUUUA
RNAcentral lists this long non-coding RNA (222 nucleotides) under Elaeis guineensis (African oil palm). RNAcentral describes it as "long non-coding RNA (EGUI_LNC064083)". The record is from RNAcentral. Lineage: Eukaryota; Viridiplantae; Streptophyta; Magnoliopsida; Arecales; Arecaceae.